RNAcentral lists this ribosomal RNA (245 nucleotides) under uncultured Parasegetibacter sp. Its description in RNAcentral is "partial 16S ribosomal RNA". It matches the Rfam family "Bacterial small subunit ribosomal RNA", at positions 524 to 768 of the family's 1533-position model. Lineage: Bacteria; Pseudomonadati; Bacteroidota; Chitinophagia; Chitinophagales; Chitinophagaceae. The record is from RNAcentral.
UACGGAGGGUGCAAGCGUUAUCCGGAUUCACUGGGUUUAAAGGGUGUGUAGGCGGGUCUGUAAGUCAGUGGUGAAAUCUCCGAGCUCAACUUGGAAACUGCCAUUGAUACUAUAGAUCUUGAAUUUUGUUGAGGUAGGCGGAAUAUGUCAUGUAGCGGUGAAAUGCAUAGAUAUGACAUAGAACACCGAUUGCGAAGGCAGCUUACUAAGCAAAUAUUGACGCUGAGGCACGAAAGCGUGGGGAU